This is a long non-coding RNA of Gallus gallus (chicken), 1760 nucleotides long. Lineage: Eukaryota; Metazoa; Chordata; Aves; Galliformes; Phasianidae. The record is from Ensembl.
AUUAAAGGAUAGGUACGCCUAAAUUGCUCUGACUCUUUAGAAAAAAAAAAAAAAUAGAAGGGAUUGUAAAUAAAAUUGGAAGCAGAUAUACAACGGCCGGGUUCCCACAGGUGCGCUCCUCGCUGUGGGAUAUACCCGUGUGAAUUUGCUGUUUCCCAUCGUGUCAGGGGAAACAAUGAAUUCUGAGGUUACCCCGCGUGCCUUCAGACGCAGCACAGAAGAAGUGACCUCUUGUCUGGGCAGGCUGAGGGCUGCAGGUCCCCCGCACCAACGCGAGGGGUUGUGCCGCCGGGGCUCACCGCCAGAUCAAAGCCGUGGGCCACUCACAAGGAAACAAGAGGGGAAAGCCCGAAGAAUCAGAGAAACAAAGGGAAGGUUGAGGAGAUAAGGAUCAGUCUCAGAUAUGAUAUUUCACCCAGAUCAGAGCCGGCGCAGAAGUUCAAUUCAAAGUUCAUAAGACAAAAAUACAAAGGGAGCUGCUGGAAGGUUUUGUUGCUAUACGUCUACGCUCUCAACGGCAAUUCCCAUCCUCCAGGUGACAGAGGUUGCUGCUGUAUUAUGCAACAUCAUACAACUGAGCUCGCCUUUUCCUCCAGAUCUCGCCCUCACCCAAAUAUGCCCUUUGAGCGUUUCUAGCAUCUUUAUACAACCGCAAACCAAACCCCUCCGGGUGUACCCAGCAGAUGAGGUGUGAAGCUGUGGGGUACCCAGCACAGCCAGACCCCCUGACCUUGGGAAAGGGACUUCUGCGUGCACUGAAGUUACGCCAGGGAAGGUUCAGGUGGAUACCUGGGACUUAUUUGGCUGAUUGAGGCUGUUUAUCAAGAAGUAACAGAGAGCUCUUGGAGAUGUAGAUCCUGUAGAAGGAGCUGGGUUGCAAACAGCUCCCUGGCACAUCAAAGCCUGCAGAGGUGCAUCCCACACCAUGGCCACUAACCCACCGCUGCCUGUCUGAGGCAGCACAGGAAAGUCAGCUCCAGAGGAUUUAUUUGGACCAUGGGGGACAACGGUUGGAUGUCAACACCAUAUAGAAACCGACCUACUACAGGCUGUGUUAUUUUCCUUAUUGCCUCCAGAGAACACACACCUUCUGAAGUUUCCUAACAUGUUGCCUCAUAAGGUGCUUUCACAACAUCCAUGCCGCGGAUACAUUAGCCAGCCUCAGCAGAGCAUAAUUCCGGUCUCAUAAAUCUUCCAGCAAUUACGAGGCCUCAUUCAACCUCCCCGUGAGAUAAAACAACUGCUGCAUCGUGGCGUCACAAUGGGAUUUUUCUUUUUUUUUUUUUAGCUUUUGCUUUCCAACAAAUCAACUCUGCAAAAUGACAAGUGCAGUGUGCUGCCUUCCACAUGGAGCCCUGGGAUACAAAACCAGCCCAUCCUUUCCUUAUUUUCUUGACAAAAACAUAGAAUCUUUAAGGCUGGAAAAGACCUCCAAGAUCAAUUCCAACUCCAACACACCCCCCAUACCCACUGCCCACGUCCCUCUGUGCCACAUCUCCGUGGUUCUGGAACACCUCCAGGGAUGGUGACCCCACCACACCUGGGCAGCUGUGCACUGCAGCACCACUCUGUCUUAGAAUAAAUUUUAGCUCAUAUCCAGCCUGAACCUCCAUCCUAGACGUCGUUGUUUGUCACCUACCGAGGAGAAGCAGGGAGUCCAUCUAGAACAGGAAGAAAUCCAGUAUUCUGAGUUACCAGCAUUGGGCAGUGGCAUCCAGGUAAGCGCAGCCAAAGGGCAGGACCUCUGUGAGCCAUCUGGC